This 658-nucleotide ribosomal RNA is filed under the name uncultured bacterium. RNAcentral describes it as "bacterial SSU rRNA". It matches the Rfam family "Bacterial small subunit ribosomal RNA", at positions 67 to 710 of the family's 1533-position model. The record is from RNAcentral.
CUGAAGAGAGGAGCUUGCUCUUCUUGGAUGAGUUGCGAACGGGUGAGUAACGCGUAGGUAACCUGCCUUGUAGCGGGGGAUAACUAUUGGAAACGAUAGCUAAUACCGCAUAACAAUGGAUGACUCAUAUCAUUUAUUUGAAAGGGGCAAAUGCUCCACUACAAGAUGGACCUGCGUUGUAUUAGCUAGUAGGUGAGGUAAUGGCUCACCUAGGCGACGAUACAUAGCCGACCUGAGAGGGUGAUCGGCCACACUGGGACUGAGACACGGCCCAGACUCCUACGGGAGGCAGCAGUAGGGAAUCUUCGGCAAUGGGGGCAACCCUGACCGAGCAACGCCGCGUGAGUGAAGAAGGUUUUCGGAUCGUAAAGCUCUGUUGUAAGUCAAGAACGAGUGUGAGAGUGGAAAGUUCACACUGUGACGGUAGCUUACCAGAAAGGGACGGCUAACUACGUGCCAGCAGCCGCGGUAAUACGUAGGUCCCGAGCGUUGUCCGGAUUUAUUGGGCGUAAAGCGAGCGCAGGCGGUUUGAUAAGUCUGAAGUUAAAGGCUGUGGCUCAACCAUAGUUCGCUUUGGAAACUGUCAAACUUGAGUGCAGAAGGGGAGAGUGGAAUUCCAUGUGUAGCGGUGAAAUGCGAAGAUAUAUGGAGGAACACC